This 956-nucleotide ribosomal RNA is filed under the name uncultured Clostridium sp. RNAcentral describes it as "bacterial SSU rRNA". It matches the Rfam family "Bacterial small subunit ribosomal RNA", at positions 524 to 1482 of the family's 1533-position model. The record is from RNAcentral. Lineage: Bacteria; Bacillati; Bacillota; Clostridia; Eubacteriales; Clostridiaceae.
UACGUAGGUGGCGAGCGUUGUCCGGAUUUACUGGGCGUAAAGGAUGCGUAGGUGGAUAUUUAAGUCAGAUGUGAAAUACCCGAGCUUAACUUGGGUGCUGCAUUUGAAACUGGAUAUCUAGAGUACAGGAGAGGUAAGUGGAAUUCCUAGUGUAGCGGUGAAAUGCGUAGAGAUUAGGAAGAACACCAGUGGCGAAGGCGACUUACUGGACUGUAACUGACACUGAGGCAUGAAAGCGUGGGUAGCAAACAGGAUUAGAUACCCUGGUAGUCCACGCCGUAAACGAUGAGUACUAGGUGUAGGGGGGUCCAACCUUCUGUGCCGCAGUUAACACAAUAAGUACUCCGCCUGGGAAGUACGAUCGCAAGAUUAAAACUCAAAGGAAUUGACGGGGGCCCGCACAAGCAGCGGAGCAUGUGGUUUAAUUCGAAGCAACGCGAAGAACCUUACCUGGACUUGACAUCCCCUGAAUAGUGCAGAGAUGCAUGAAGCCCUUCGGGGCAGGGAGACAGGUGGUGCAUGGUUGUCGUCAGCUCGUGUCGUGAGAUGUUAGGUUAAGUCCUGCAACGAGCGCAACCCUUAUCAUUAGUUGCUACCAUUAAGUUGAGCACUCUAGUGAGACUGCCCGGGUUAACCGGGAGGAAGGUGGGGAUGACGUCAAAUCAUCAUGCCCCUUAUGUCCAGGGCUACACACGUGCUACAAUGGUGAGUACAGAGAGAUGCAAGACCGUGAGGUGGAGCCAAACUCAAAAACUCAUCCCAGUUCGGAUUGUAGGCUGCAACUCGCCUACAUGAAGCCGGAGUUGCUAGUAAUCGCGAAUCAGAAUGUCGCGGUGAAUACGUUCCCGGGCCUUGUACACACCGCCCGUCACACCAUGAGAGCUGGCAAUACCCGAAGUCCGUGAGGUAACCUGUAAAGGAGCCAGCGGCCGAAGGUAGGGUUAGUGAUUGGGGUG